RNAcentral lists this unclassified non-coding RNA (240 nucleotides) under soil metagenome. RNAcentral's name for it is "partial contains 5.8S ribosomal RNA, internal transcribed spacer 2, and large subunit ribosomal RNA". The record is from RNAcentral.
AACAUCGCGCACCUGCGGGAACCUGCGGAGGGAUCAUUACAGAGUUGCAAAACUCCCUAAACCAUUGUGAACGUUACCUAAACCGUUGCUUCGGCGGGCGGCCCGGGUCCUUCCCGGCGCCCCUCGGCCCUCGCGGGCGCCCGCCGGAGGUAAACCAAACUAUUGCAUUGUAUGGCCUCUCUGAGUCUUCUGUACUGAAUAAGUCAAAACUUUCAGCAAUGGAUCUCAGAUCGGAAGAGC